Molecule: ribosomal RNA, 459 nt
Filed under: uncultured Turicibacter sp.
Lineage: Bacteria; Bacillati; Bacillota; Erysipelotrichia; Erysipelotrichales; Turicibacteraceae
Description: partial 16S ribosomal RNA
Rfam family: Bacterial small subunit ribosomal RNA
Source: RNAcentral
ACGGGAGGCAGCAGUAGGGAAUUUUCGGCAAUGGGGGCAACCCUGACCGAGCAAUGCCGCGUGAAUGAUGAAAUUCUUCGGAAUGUAAAAUUCUGUUAUUAGGGACGAAAGUAAUUAAUAGGAAAUGAUUAGUUAUUGACGGUACCUGAUUAGAAAGCCCCGGCUAACUAUGUGCCAGCAGCCGCGGUAAUACAUAGGGGGCAAGCGUUAUCCGGAUUUAUUGGGCGUAAAGCGUGCGUAGGCGGCUAAUUAAGUCUGCCGUGAAAUCCCAUAGCUUAACUAUGGAAAGUCGGUGGAAACUGGUUAGCUUGAAUGCAGAAGAGGUAAGUGGAAUUCCAUGUGUAGUGGUAAAAUACUUAGAUAUAUGGAGGAACACCAGUGGCGAAAGCGGCUUACUGGUCUGUUAUUGACGCUGAGGCACGAAAGCGUGGGGAGCAAACAGGAUUAGAUACCCUGGUA